RNAcentral lists this ribosomal RNA (655 nucleotides) under Eurytrochus danieli. RNAcentral's name for it is "partial 12S ribosomal RNA". It matches the Rfam family "Bacterial small subunit ribosomal RNA", at positions 524 to 1384 of the family's 1533-position model. Lineage: Eukaryota; Metazoa; Mollusca; Gastropoda; Trochida; Trochidae. The record is from RNAcentral.
GACAAACAGAUCAAGUCAAGGUUUAUUCAGUAUAAAAGAAGGUUAGAAGUUGUAUAUGACGUGUAGGGAAGAUUUGACUUUCUUAGAGAGGUGGAAUUUGUAUAAGAAAGUUUGGUUUAUUUGUUUUCUUUAUUUUGAUGCCUUGAAAGUUUAAGAGAAGACCGGGAUUAGAUACCCCGUUAUUUUUACUGUAAACUUUAAUUAAUGUGUUGAUUUACUUGGGUAGUACGAGUUGCUUUGUUACGGGAAGAGCAAAGUGCUUAAAACCCAAAAAACUUGGCGGUGCCUUAUUCCUUUCAGGGGAACCUGUCCUGUAAUCGAUGGUCCACGAUUUAACUUACCUUUUUUUGCAUCCAUUAAUCUUGUUGUGCAAGUUGUGGAGCAGUUUGUAUACCGUCGUCGUCAGAUUACCUUUAAGAGUGAUAGAAGUUGUCGGGAGAGGGUUAUAGAGCUUAGGGUAAAUAAUAAUAGUUUAUCUAAGGCUUUGUUUUCUUAGAUGUCAGAUCAAGGUGCAGCUUAUAAAAAGGAAGAGAUGGGUUACAAUAAAUAUUAAAUAUACGGAUUUUUCAUUGUAAAGUGAAAUUGAAGGUGGACUUGAGAGUAAUAAUUUGAGAGAAAAUAAUGAGUUUGUAUGAAUGGUGGUGCUAAGGUGCGC